AAGUACGAGCGGAGGCGAGGGUGGCUUGUCGACCUUACGUCUUAGUCGGCGGACGGGUGGAGUAAGUUAGCUUAGGUAAGUACUGCCUAUUAGUGGGGGACAACAUUCCGAAAGGAAUGCUAAUACCGCAUACGCCCUACGGGGGAAAGCAGGGGGUCUUCGGACCUUGCGCUAAUAGAUGAGCCUAAGUCAGAUUAGCUAGUUGGUGGGGUAAAGGCCUACCAAGGCGACGAUCUGUAGCGGGUCUGAGAGGAUGAUCCGCCACACUGGGACUGAGACACGGCCCAGACUCCUACGGGAGGCAGCAGUGGGGAAUAUUGGACAAUGGGCGCAAGCCUGAUCCAGCCAUGCCGCGUGUGUGAAGAAGGCCUUUUGGUUGUAAAGCACUUUAAGCGAGGAGGAGGCUACUUGGAUUAAUACUCUGGGAUAGUGGACGUUACUCGCAGAAUAAGCACCGGCUAACUCUGUG
RNAcentral lists this ribosomal RNA (469 nucleotides) under uncultured bacterium. Its description in RNAcentral is "bacterial SSU rRNA". It matches the Rfam family "Bacterial small subunit ribosomal RNA", at positions 59 to 507 of the family's 1533-position model. The record is from RNAcentral.